This 557-nucleotide ribosomal RNA is filed under the name uncultured Gammaproteobacteria bacterium. Its description in RNAcentral is "bacterial SSU rRNA". It matches the Rfam family "Bacterial small subunit ribosomal RNA", at positions 56 to 623 of the family's 1533-position model. The record is from RNAcentral. Lineage: Bacteria; Pseudomonadati; Pseudomonadota; Gammaproteobacteria.
UGCAAGUCGAACGUGAAAGCACUUCGGUGUGAGUAGAGUGGCGGACGGGUGAGUAACGCGUGGGAAUCUGCCCAGUAGUGGGGGACAACUACCGGAAACGGUAGCUAAUACCGCAUACGCCCUAUGGGGGAAAGGCUUCGGCCGCUAUUGGAUGAGCCCGCGUCAGAUUAGCUAGUUGGUAGGGUAAAGGCCUACCAAGGCAACGAUCUGUAGCUGGUCUGAGAGGACGAACAGCCACACUGGGACUGAGACACGGCCCAGACUCCUACGGGAGGCAGCAGUGGGGAAUAUUGGACAAUGGGGGCAACCCUGAUCCAGCAAUGCCGCGUGUGUGAAGAAGGCCCGAGGGUUGUAAAGCACUUUCAAUUGUGAAGAAGGGUUGAUAGUUAAUAGCUAUCAACUUUGACGUUAACUUUAGAGGAAGCACCGGCUAACUCUGUGCCAGCAGCCGCGGUAAUACAGAGGGUGCGAGCGUUAAUCGGAAUUACUGGGCGUAAAGCGCGCGUAGGCGGUUUAGUAAGUUGGAUGUGAAAGCCCCGGGCUCAACCUGGGAUGGU